AUUGAGCCUGAAUCAUGCCCUUAUAGUGGAGCACGUCAUAAAUUUUGUCCAUGUGUUGAAGAAUGGAGGAUGGGAGCUGGUUAUACAACCUUCACAUACAUAGCAGUAAAUAUUACCAGUCUUCAAGUGUUGACUGAUGAUUUCACAUUUUCGACCACUCAUCGUGGAUAUCCAGUCAACUUUGGGGAGGCUGGAGACUGUUACAGCCGUGUUCCUUGUCCCCAAGGUACUUUUUCCAUUAAUCUGAUUGGUACAGGGUUAAAAAUUUCUGAGAAAACAAAAUGGAAGACACAUGGUCAUUAUGCUACAAUCAAGAUAGACAGGCUAGAGGAAGGACAAUUAGUUCAUGGAAAAUGUGGGGGACACUGUGGAAAAUGUAAGCCAGAUGCCAAAAUAGGUUUGUUGCUGGAUAUAGCUCCUCCAGGAAUUCAGUAACUUUAACCUUGGACGCAAACAUGAAAGACAAUGGACCAGAUAAUUUGGAAGUAAGAAGCAAUAUUUGGACCUCAGUAUUGUUUUUGCUAGAUAUUAGUUAUUUCAUAUGUACAUAAUCAUUGUUUGAAAGCUCAAGAUCAUUACGGCUGGGCAAAUCACUUAACAUUGAAAAAACUCAAAUAUUUUUAAUGUACCACUCCGUAGUUUAAAGCUUGUCCUAUUGAAUACUACCCUUCUUCUUAUUGUUUCUAUUAACCAAUUAAUAGAUUAUCACUUUCGUUAUUUAAUCAUGUGUACUAUUAACCAAUUAAUAGAUUAUCACUUUCGUUAUUUAAUCAUGUGUACUAUUAACCAAUUAAUAGACUAUCACUUUCGUUAUUUAAUCAUGUGUAUAUUUAGAGAAUUGUGAUUGGUAUUAACUGUUGUAAGAAAUAAACAAAAGUUAAAAUUAUUUAAUUACAUCAUGAUCAGCAGAGCAAGUUAUUAAGUUAGGUGAGAACAGUUGGGAUAAACUUUAAACAAGCUGCUUAUUUCUUCCUCCACAAAGUGUAAACAAUCAGACCAUUAUUUUAAAUCUUAUCAUUGACACAUUUGGCACACAGAAUGCUUUAUACACUGAUUUUAUGUUUUAAAAAACUUAAAAUAGUUAGAAAACGUUGCAUGAACCAUCAGUAUUUUUACAUCUGAAUUCUUCAUGAUUUUAUGCUUUGUUAAACACAGAUGUUAAUUAAAAAGGUUUCACCAAGUAAACUAUAUAACUGUAUUUGGAAAUUUCUUUUUAGAAGGCAAUUUUGGAAACUAUACUAGUCUUAAGUUUUAUAUUUUUAUUUUAGUCAUUGUACUGUUCCAAUUUUAAAGCGUUGACACAACAGAAAAGGAUUAUUUUUAACAAGAAGCUACAUAUAGCUUUACAGUAGUGGUAAAACCUAUUUUACACUUUAACGUGUCAAACAUUCAUACAUUUUACUUACAGCAUUAUAUUAGUGAUAAAAUUCUUCUAUGCUUUAACAUGCUAAAUAUUCACACAUCCUACAUAUAGCUCUACAGUAGUGGGAAAAAAAUUAUUCUACACUUUAACAUGCCAAACAUUCAUGCACAUUACUUAUAGCUUUAUAUUAGUGGUAAAAUGUUUGUUCACUUUAACAUGUCAUUCAUGCAUGUUAAUUAUAGCUUUACAGUAGUGGUCACCCUAGUAGAUCAGUGGUGAGUCUAAAUGCUUAUAAUGCUCAGGGUGAGCACAGCACAGAUAGCCCAUUGUAUAGCUUUGCACUAGUAAGCUUAACAAAAACAAAUUUACAGCAGUUGUAAACAUUCUUUUACAGUUUAACAUGCUAAACAUCCAUGUAUGUUUUACAACAGUGGUAAAUUUCUUCUACACUUUAACAUGUUACACAUUCAUGUAUACUACAUACAGCUUUACAGCAGUUGUAAAAAUUCUUCUACACUUUAACAUGCUAAACAUUCAUGUAUACUACAUACAGCUUUACAGCAGUUGUAAAAAUUCUUCUACACUUUAACAUGCUAAACAUUCAUGUAUACUACAUACAGCUUUACAGCAAUUGUAAAAAUUCUUCUACACUUUAACAUGCUAAACAUUCAUGUAUACUACAUACAGCUUUACAGCAGUUGUAAAAAUUCUUCUACACUUUAACAUGCUAAACAUUCAUGUAUACUACAUACAGCUUUACAGCAGUUGUAAAAAUUCUUCUUCCGUUUAACAUGUUAAACAUUAAUAUAUACUAAUAUCAAGUUGUUUCACAUAU
Limulus polyphemus (Atlantic horseshoe crab) is the source of this 2198-nucleotide long non-coding RNA. RefSeq lists it as uncharacterized. The record is from RefSeq and is a predicted model, not a curated record. The transcript has 4 exons. NCBI's taxonomy places the organism in Eukaryota, Metazoa, Arthropoda, Merostomata, Xiphosura, Limulidae.